RNAcentral lists this unclassified non-coding RNA (227 nucleotides) under Hevea brasiliensis (rubber tree). The record is from RNAcentral. Lineage: Eukaryota; Viridiplantae; Streptophyta; Magnoliopsida; Malpighiales; Euphorbiaceae.
GAAAGAGACUGAGAAGAACAUGUCCCUGAGGAAGUUGUGGAAGUGAUCUUUCUACCAUACUAUUCUGUAUUGCAAGCAGAUCUUGAUGGAAUAUUAUAGACUGUUAUUUCCAAUGUGUGCCAAUCAAGAAUCCUUUAGAUCUAUUUGGAAACAGGUUAUUGGUUCUGCUUUUUUGGACGUCAAUGGGUCCUGUUUGUAUUGACAUUAUCCAGAAAUGCAUCUGCCCA